GUGUAAUUUAUUGUUAAAAAAUGUCAUUACCUGGCAUAUUUAUUGCUAAAAAAUGUAAUUUUUUUUUUGUUUGAAGGAAUGUGUUGAGCCUCCCCAAGAUUUCCUGGAGACUUCCUUUGCUGCAGAAGACCCUCCACCUGUUGAAAAUGCAGAAGCACCAGCUGACAAAGCUGACAUGGUAGAAACUCGUUCUUCUGCUAAAAGGAAGCACAGGGCUGAGUCAGAGCAGGCUGCUGGCAAACCCUCAGGAGCCACCACCACCAGGAAUGCUGAAGGCACUAAAAAUCCAAGGAAGAACAAGAUCCCACGCCAGAAGAAUCCAACCACAUCUGCUCCCAAAAAACCACAGAGAUCAAGACAGACAAGCUACGGGAAAAGAAGAAAGAGAAAAGUGAAAAAAUGUAUAUAUGGGGAAAGAGAGAUGGCUUCUAAGAAACCCCUUCUCAGCCCUAUCCCUGAAAUUCCAGAGGAUUUCUCUUCUGUCUCAUCUCCAGACUCACCAAAGGCAGAGGGGCUUUUUUCAGAGGAUGCAGCUGCAGGUAAUCCUAAAACCUGGAAUGCUUGUGAGGAUGUCCAGGAGAAGGUGGUGGCUGAAGGGGUGAGAGGGAAGAGCACCAUCCAUGCAGUGGAUGUGGAUCCAAGCUCCAAGGACCUGGAUGUGGCAGCUCCCAGCAGCUCCAGGGAUGGGGCCCCUCAGGUGUCCCAGGGGGACCUGGAGGCUCCUUCUGGCACUGAGCAGGAGGUAACUGAGUUGCUUAAGGAUCAGGGAAGUCAUGUUUGGGGGGAAGGAAAACACAGGAGGAAUGAUGGAUUAAGGAUUAGAACAGGCUGCCU
Molecule: long non-coding RNA, 834 nt
Filed under: Lepidothrix coronata (blue-crowned manakin)
Lineage: Eukaryota; Metazoa; Chordata; Aves; Passeriformes; Pipridae
Description: lncRNA (ENSLCOG00000002227.1)
Source: RNAcentral